Molecule: ribosomal RNA, 519 nt
Filed under: uncultured eukaryote
Lineage: Eukaryota
Description: SSU rRNA
Rfam family: Eukaryotic small subunit ribosomal RNA
Source: RNAcentral
AGGGCACCACCAGGAGUGGAGCCUGCGGCUUAAUUUGACUCAACACGGGAAACCUCACCCGGCCAGUACAUUAUAAGGAUUGACAGAUUGAAAGCUCUUUCAUGAUUUGAUGAAUGGUGGUGCAUGGCCGUUCUUAGUUCGUGGCGUGAGUCGUCUGCUUAAUUGCGAUAACGAGCGAGACUCCGACUGUUAAAUAGGGUGGGUUCACUUCGACCCUUACGCUUCUUAACGGGAUUCGUUACUCCAAGUAUCAAGAAAUGGAGCAAUAACAGGUCUGUGAUGCCCUUAGAUGUUCGGGGCAGCACGCGUGCUACAAUGGUGGUAACAGCGUGAUUGUCCCCGUCCGACAGGGCUUGGCAAACAGUUGAGAUAUUAUUAUGGCUGGAAUUGAGUGUUGAAAUUUUCUCUCAUGAACGAGGAAUUCCAAGUAAAUGCGAGUCAUCAACUUGCAUUGAUUACGUCCCUGCCCUUUGUACACACCGCCCGUCGCUACCCGGGACUGAGUUAUUUCGAGAAAUC